RNAcentral lists this ribosomal RNA (799 nucleotides) under uncultured Glomus. Its description in RNAcentral is "SSU rRNA". It matches the Rfam family "Eukaryotic small subunit ribosomal RNA", at positions 314 to 1114 of the family's 1831-position model. Lineage: Eukaryota; Fungi; Glomeromycota; Glomeromycetes; Glomerales; Glomeraceae. The record is from RNAcentral.
AUCAACUUUCGAUGGUAGGAUAGAGGCCUACUAUGGUGGUGACGGGUGACGGAGAAUUAGGGUUCGAUUCCGGAGAAGGAGCCUGAGAAACGGCUACUACAUCCAAGGAAGGCAGCAGGCGCGCAAAUUACCCAAUCCCGACUCGAGGAGGUAGUGACGAUAAAUACUGAUACAGGGCUCUUUUGGGUCUUGUAAUUGGAAUGAGUACAAUUUAAAUCCCUUAACGAGGAACAAUUGGAGGGCAAGUCUGGUGCCAGCAGCCGCGGUAAUUCCAGCUCCAAUAGCGUAUAUUAAAGUUGUUGCAGUUAAAAAGCUCGUAGUUGAAUUUCGGGGUCAGUAGGCUGGUCAUGCCACUGGUAUGUACUGGUCUCACUGAUUCCUCCUUCCUGAUGAGCCGUAAUGCCAUUAAUUUGGUGUUGCGAGGAAUCUGGACUGUUACUUUGAAAAAAUUAGAGUGUUUAAAGCAGGCUAACGCUUGAAUACAUUAGCAUGGAAUAAUGAAAUAGGACGUUCGAUCUUAUUUUGUUGGUUUCUAAGAUUGACGUAAUGAUUAAUAGGGAUAGUUGGGGGCAUUAGUAUUCAAUUGUCAGAGGUGAAAUUCUUGGAUUUAUUGAAGACUAACUACUGCGAAAGCAUUUGCCAAGGAUGUUUUCAUUAAUCAAGAACGAAAGUUAGGGGAUCGAAGACGAUCAGAUACCGUCGUAGUCUUAACCAUAAACUAUGCCGACUAGGGAUCGGAUGAUGUUAAUUUUUUAAUGACUCAUUCGGCGCCUUGCGGGAAACCAAAGUGUUUGGGUUC